This 491-nucleotide ribosomal RNA is filed under the name uncultured bacterium. RNAcentral describes it as "bacterial SSU rRNA". It matches the Rfam family "Bacterial small subunit ribosomal RNA", at positions 1039 to 1529 of the family's 1533-position model. The record is from RNAcentral.
UGGUGCAUGGUUGUCGUCAGCUCGUGUCGUGAGAUGUUGGGUUAAGUCCCGCAACGAGCGCAACCCUUAAGCUUAGUUGCCAGCAUUAAGUUGGGCACUCUAAGUUGACUGCCGGUGACAAACCGGAGGAAGGUGGGGAUGACGUCAAAUCAUCAUGCCCCUUAUGAUUUGGGCUACACACGUGCUACAAUGGACAAUACAAAGGGCAGCUAAACCGCGAGGUCAUGCAAAUCCCAUAAAGUUGUUCUCAGUUCGGAUUGUAGUCUGCAACUCGACUACAUGAAGCUGGAAUCGCUAGUAAUCGUAGAUCAGCAUGCUACGGUGAAUACGUUCCCGGGUCUUGUACACACCGCCCGUCACACCACGAGAGUUUGUAACACCCGAAGCCGGUGGAGUAACCAUUUAUGGAGCUAGCCGUCGAAGGUGGGACAAAUGAUUGGGGUGAAGUCGUAACAAGGUAGCCGUAUCGGAAGGUGCGGCUGGAUCACCUC